AGGACGAACGCUGGCGGCGUGCUUAACACAUGCAAGUCGAGCGGAAAGGCCCUUCGGGGUGCUCGAGCGGCGAACGGGUGAGUAACACGUGAGCAACCUGCCCCUGGCUCUGGGAUAGCCUCCGGAAACGGGGAUUAAUACCGGACAUUCACUUCCUUCCGCAUGGUUGGUGGUGGAAAGUUUUUCGGCCGGGGAGGGGCUCGCGGUCUAUCAGCUUGUUGGCGGGGUAACGGCCCACCAAGGCGACGACGGAUAG
This 256-nucleotide ribosomal RNA is filed under the name uncultured bacterium. RNAcentral's name for it is "partial small subunit ribosomal RNA". It matches the Rfam family "Bacterial small subunit ribosomal RNA", at positions 26 to 286 of the family's 1533-position model. The record is from RNAcentral.